AUCAUUUCUCAGCCUUUUGGCCAAGCUCGAGCCAAAGUAGUAUCUUUUCUUAGCAGUUUAAGAUCUGAUAGGUCCUGGAGCUGAAGACAAUAUACUCAAUGGAUUUGGGGAGCAGGGAGAGGGAAUACGGGUUGCUACAUCCACCCUGCGCAUGACCCAUGUUGCAGGAAUGGUGCAUACACA
This is a small nuclear RNA of Herpailurus yagouaroundi (jaguarundi), 183 nucleotides long. RefSeq annotates it as U2 spliceosomal RNA. Lineage: Eukaryota; Metazoa; Chordata; Mammalia; Carnivora; Felidae. The record is from RefSeq and is a predicted model, not a curated record. The transcript has a single exon.